This is a long non-coding RNA of Aedes albopictus (Asian tiger mosquito), 200 nucleotides long. RefSeq lists it as uncharacterized. NCBI's taxonomy places the organism in Eukaryota, Metazoa, Arthropoda, Insecta, Diptera, Culicidae. The transcript is spliced from 2 exons. The record is from RefSeq and is a predicted model, not a curated record.
GAGGAAUAGUAAGAAAUCAAAGCUUGUUUUUCUCAGAGAUGGCGCCACCACAUUAAAAGUAAAAUCAUUUUUCUUGUAUGGACAAAUCGUUGGCUUGCACUCCUUUUCUGCUUGUUUACACUGUUAUCACGUUUACCGCAUUUAUCAGAAAAGCGCCACUACCGGCACUUUAGCAAAGGCACAGCUGCUUACUUCCUAUU